Molecule: ribosomal RNA, 384 nt
Filed under: Triticum aestivum (bread wheat)
Lineage: Eukaryota; Viridiplantae; Streptophyta; Magnoliopsida; Poales; Poaceae
Description: partial small subunit ribosomal RNA
Source: RNAcentral
AUGUUUGCAAUGACUCGUUCGUCGUUAUUUAAAUUUUUGAUUAGUCUGAUGGUCCUUUAUAAUGUUUGUGCAAUCUAUAAGAAUAAUUCCAUGUGCAUAUGUAAUUUACCACCAAAAUCAGUAACUAAGGGGAAAGACUACGUCCUACUUUCCGGGAAGCUUAAUGAUCAGGAUCGGAACUUAUCAUCUGUGGGACAAGUGGUGGUGGAGGUAAAAGCCAUGAUCAGAACUUUGAGUGAGUUCACCUGGGUCCGAAGGACAGCAAAUGGUGCUGCCCAUUUGCUGGCACGCUUAGGAAUAAGCAGUAGAGCAUCAGUGGUGCUUUGGGACUUAGUUCCCCUGAUUGUAUUCUUAGCGUUGUAUCAGAUGAAAUUCCUAAUUUAG